This 468-nucleotide ribosomal RNA is filed under the name uncultured bacterium. RNAcentral describes it as "partial 16S ribosomal RNA". It matches the Rfam family "Bacterial small subunit ribosomal RNA", at positions 28 to 507 of the family's 1533-position model. The record is from RNAcentral.
GACGAACGCUGGCGGCGUGCUUAACACAUGCAAGUCGAACGGAAAGGCCCUGCUUGUGUGGGGUGCUCGAGUGGCGAACGGGUGAGUAACACGUGAGUAACCUGCCCUUGACUUUGGGAUAACUUCAGGAAACUGGGGCUAAUACCGGAUAGGAGCUCCUGCUGCAUGGUGGGGGUUGGAAAGUUUCGGCGGUUGGGGAUGGACUCGCGGCUUAUCAGCUUGUUGGUGGGGUAGUGGCUUACCAAGGCUUUGACGGGUAGCCGGCCUGAGAGGGUGACCGGCCACAUUGGGACUGCGAUACGGCCCAGACUCCUACGGGAGGCAGCAGUGGGGAAUAUUGCACAGUGGGCGGAAGCCUGAUGCAGCAACGCCGCGGGCGGGAUGACGGCCUUCGGGUUGUAAACCGCUUUCGCCUGUGACGAAGCGUGAGUGACGGUAAUGGGUAAAGAAGCACCGGCUAACUACGUG